GGAUGUAAAGGUGAUGUGACUAUGACAUAUGUUGCCCCAUUGAUCACCAGAGUUGAUUCAGCUGACCUGGCUAGCUGGGGGUGGGGGUGUCCCCGUCCUCCCUCACCGCUACUCAUUCGUCCCUCCCAAAAUAGCUUGCUCAGCCAAAGAGGACAAAUUCCUGGAGAGUGGAGAGGAGCACUUUUACACAAAGGAUAUACAAGUAGCUGUGCUCCCUGGCUGGAACCUCCAAACACACUCUCGGGGUUCAUUUGUAGAAGAACAUAGGAUGGACAGGCUUCCAAGACUCCAGGCACAUCCAAAUGAGGCGCUACGUGUGGCAGACUGCCUUCCUUU
Molecule: small nuclear RNA, 336 nt
Filed under: Pteropus alecto (black flying fox)
Lineage: Eukaryota; Metazoa; Chordata; Mammalia; Chiroptera; Pteropodidae
Description: 7SK RNA
Rfam family: 7SK RNA
About the family: 7SK was discovered as an abundant small nuclear RNA in the mid-70s but a possible function has only recently been suggested. Two independent studies have found that 7SK RNA binds the CDK9/cyclin T complex (known as elongation factor P-TEFb).
Source: Rfam by way of RNAcentral